This 485-nucleotide ribosomal RNA is filed under the name uncultured bacterium. RNAcentral's name for it is "bacterial SSU rRNA". It matches the Rfam family "Bacterial small subunit ribosomal RNA", at positions 29 to 526 of the family's 1533-position model. The record is from RNAcentral.
UAUGAACGUUGGCGGCGUGGAUUAGGCAUGCAAGUCGAGCGAGGACUGUAGCAAUACAGGGAAAGCGGCGAAAGGGAGAGUAACACGUAGGUACCUACCCUCGGGUCUGGGAUAGCUGCGGGAAACUGCAAUUAAUACCGGAUGACGUCUCUGGACCAAAGGUGUGAUUCCGCCAGAGGAUGGGCCUGCGUCCUAUUAGCUAGUUGGUGAGGUAACGGCUCACCAAGGCCGAGAUGGGUACGGGGUGUGAGAGCAUGCCCCCGCUCACUGGGACUGAGACACUGCCCAGACACCUACGGGUGGCUGCAGUCGAGGAUCUUCCGCUAUGGGCGCAAGCCUGACGGAGCGACGCCGCGUGCGGGAUGAAGGCUUUCGGGUUGUAAACCGCUGUCAGUGGGGAGCAAAUGCAUCGGGGUUCUCUCCGAUGUUUGAGCGAUCCGCAGAGGAAGCACAGGCUAAUUCCGUGCCAGCAGCCGCGGUAAUAC